AGAGUUUGAUCCUGGGCUCAGAUUGAAACGCUGGGCGGCAUGCUUUACAACAUGGCAAGUCGAACGGCAGCACGGGGGCAACCCUUGGGUGGCGAGUGGCGAACGGGGUGAGGAAUAAACACGGGAACCGUAUCCCUUGAGUUGGGGAUAACGAGGCGAAAGUUGUGCUAAUACCCGCAUGAGCUCUGAGGAGGAAAGUGGGGGACCGUAAGGCUCUCACGCUGAAGGGGCGGCCGAUGUCCGAUUAGCUAGUUGGUGAGGUAAAGGUACACCCAAGGCUUCGAUCGGUAGCUGGUUUGAGAGGAUGUCUCACCCCCACGGGGAUUGAGACACGCCCCGGACCCUUACGGGAGGCGGCGGUGGGAAAUUUUGGACGAUGGGGGCGACUCCUGUCCCACCCUGCCGCGUGAGUGAAGAAGCCCCUUCGGGUUGUAAGCUCUUCGUGAGGAGAACGGCCUAGUAAUAGCUGUGUUACUACGUACCCGAAGAAGCCCGGCUAACUACGUGCCGCCGCCGCGU
RNAcentral lists this ribosomal RNA (519 nucleotides) under uncultured bacterium. RNAcentral's name for it is "bacterial SSU rRNA". It matches the Rfam family "Bacterial small subunit ribosomal RNA", at positions 8 to 520 of the family's 1533-position model. The record is from RNAcentral.